GGGAAUAUAGCUCAGUGGUAGAGCACAUGCUUAUCACGCCCAAGGUCCUGGGUUCAAUCCCCAGUACCUCCC
This 72-nucleotide transfer RNA is filed under the name Camelus bactrianus (Bactrian camel). It matches the Rfam family "tRNA". From Rfam's summary of the family: Transfer RNA (tRNA) molecules are approximately 80 nucleotides in length. The record is from Rfam by way of RNAcentral. Lineage: Eukaryota; Metazoa; Chordata; Mammalia; Artiodactyla; Camelidae. RNAcentral also lists the same sequence under 2 other names.